RNAcentral lists this ribosomal RNA (422 nucleotides) under uncultured bacterium. Its description in RNAcentral is "bacterial SSU rRNA". It matches the Rfam family "Bacterial small subunit ribosomal RNA", at positions 355 to 774 of the family's 1533-position model. The record is from RNAcentral.
UAAGGAAUAUUGGACAAUGGAGGCAACUCUGAUCCAGCCAUGCCGCGUGAAGGAAUAAGGCCCUAUGGGUUGUAAACUUCUUUUAGACGGGACAAAACCCCUUUACGUGUAAAGGGUUGAUGGUACUGUCAGAAUAAGCAUCGGCUAACUUCGUGCCAGCAGCCGCGGUAAUACGAAGGAUGCAAGCGUUAUCCGGAAUUAUUGGGUUUAAAGGGUGCGUAGGCGGACUAAUAAGUCAGUGGUGAAAGCCUGCAGCUUAACUGCAGAAUUGCCAUUGAUACUGUUAGUCUCGAGUACAGUUGAGGUAGGCGGAAUGUGUCAUGUAGCGGUGAAAUGCUUAGAUAUGACACAGAACACCGAUUGCGAAGGCAGCUUGCUAAGCUGUAACUGACGCUGAGGCACGAAAGCGUGGGGAGCAAACA